Molecule: small RNA, 724 nt
Filed under: Pan troglodytes (chimpanzee)
Lineage: Eukaryota; Metazoa; Chordata; Mammalia; Primates; Hominidae
Description: retained intron
Source: RNAcentral
GUGAUCCCGGCGACAUACUACCUCUGGCCCCGAGAUCAGAAUGCCGAGCAAAUUCGAUUAAAGAAUAUCAGAAAAGUAUAUGGAAGGUGUAUGUGGUAUCGUUUACGGUUAUUAAAACCCCAGCCAAAUAUUAUUCCUACAGUAAAGAAAAUAGUUCUGCUUGCAGGAUGGGCAUUGUUCUUAUUCCUUGCAUAUAAAGUUUCCAAAACAGACCGAGAAUACCAAGAAUACAAUCCUUAUGAAGUAUUAAAUUUGGAUCCUGGAGCCACAGUAGCAGAAAUUAAAAAACAAUAUCGUUUGCUGUCACUUAAAUAUCAUCCAGAUAAAGGAGGUGAUGAGGUUAUGUUCAUGAGGAUAGCAAAAGCUUAUGCUGCUUUAACUGAUGAAGAGUCCCGGAAAAAUUGGGAAGAAUUUGGAAAUCCAGAUGGGCCUCAAGCCACGAGCUUUGGAAUUGCCCUGCCAGCUUGGAUAGUUGACCAGAAAAAUUCAAUUCUGGUUUUACUUGUAUAUGGAUUGGCAUUUAUGGUUAUCCUUCCAGUUGUUGUGGUAAGUUUUAGCUUUUUAAGUUAAUGUUUUUUUUGGAAAGGAGAUUGACAUGUUUUGGAGUCUCCCUAUAACAUUUUAAAUGUAUGUUAGAAUAUAACCCAUUGAUCCUUGAAUUUAAGAGUCUUGCCACUGAAGCUGAGGUGGGAGGAUCGCUUGAGCCUAGGUGUUUGAGGUUGCG